RNAcentral lists this ribosomal RNA (1169 nucleotides) under uncultured fungus. RNAcentral describes it as "eukaryotic LSU rRNA". The stretch from base 538 to 1169 matches the Rfam family "Eukaryotic large subunit ribosomal RNA", at positions 1 to 649 of the family's 3401-position model. The record is from RNAcentral. Lineage: Eukaryota; Fungi.
AAGUCGUAACAAGGUUUCCGUAGGUGAACCUGCGGAAGGAUCAUUACCGAGUUAGGGUCUUCUGGGCCCGACCUCCAACCCUUUGUUUAUUCUACCCUGUUGCUUUGGCGGGUCCGUCCUUAGGGGCCGCCGGGGGUCUUAUGACCUCUGGUCCGCGCCUGCCAGUAGCCUUUUUAAAUCCUUUAUAAUUGUGAUGUCUGAGUACAAAAACAAAUCGUUAAAAACUUUCAACAACGGAUCUCUUGGUUCUGGCAUCGAUGAAGAACGCAGCGAAAUGCGAUAAGUAAUGCGAAUUGCAGAAUUCAGUGAGUCAUCGAAUCUUUGAACGCAUAUUGCGCCCUUUGGCAUUCCGAAGGGCACGCCUGUUCGAGCGUCAUUAUCAACCAUCAAGCCUGGCUUGUCGUUGGACCCAUUGUCGCCACAAGCGAUAGGUCCGAAAGAUAAUGAACGGUGUCAUGGUGGCCCCAAAUGCAACGAGCUUUUAAUAGCACGCAUCUGGUGGUCGGCAGGCCCGGUCUUAACCCAUUAUUUCAAGGUUGACCUCGGAUCAGGUAGGAAUACCCGCUGAACUUAAGCAUAUCAAUAAGCGGAGGAAAAGAAACCAACAGGGAUUACCCUAGUAACGGCGAGUGAAGCGGUAACAGCUCAAAUUUGAAAUCUGGCCUUCACGGGUCCGAGUUGUAAUUUGUAGAGGAUGUUUCGGGCAAGGUUGUGGUUUAAGUUUCUUGGAACAGAACGUCAUAGAGGGUGAGAGUCCCGUCUAGAACCGAUAGCCGCGUCCAUGUGAAACUCCUUCGACGAGUCGAGUUGUUUGGGAAUGCAGCUCAAAAUGGGUGGUAAAUUUCAUCUAAAGCUAAAUAUUGGCCAGAGACCGAUAGCGCACAAGUAGAGUGAUCGAAAGAUGAAAAGCACUUUGAAAAGAGAGUUAAACAGUAUGUGAAAUUGUUGAAAGGGAAGCGCUUGCAACCAGACUUGCGUAUGGCGGUUCCCCUAGUCUUUUGACUGGGCUAUUCCGUUAUAUCCAGGCCAGCAUCGGUUCGGGUGGUUGGUUAAAGGUCUUGGGAAUGUAUCUACCUCCGGGUCGACUUAUAGCCCAGGGCGCAAUGCGACCUACCUGGACCGAGGAACGCGCUUUUGCUCGGAUGCUGGCGUAAUGGUUGUAAGCGGCC